GAAUUCGCCCUUAGAGUUUGAUCCUGGCUCACGACAAACGCUGGCGGCGUGCCUAACACAUGCAAGUCGAACGAGAAUCGCCGGAUAGAGGCUUCGGCCAAUUGAAUGCGAGGACAGUGGCGGACGGGUGAGUAAUGCAUGAGCAAUCUGCCUUGGAGUGGGGGACAACAGUUGGAAACGACUGCUAAUACCGCAUGAAGUUAUCGGAGGGCAUCCUCUGGUAACCAAAGAUUUAUCGCUCUGAGAUGAGCUCAUGUCUGAUUAGAUAGUUGGCGGGGUAACGGCCCACCAAGUCUGCGAUCAGUAGCCGGACUGAGAGGUUGAACGGCCACAUUGGGACUGAGAUACGGCCCAGACUCCUACGGGAGGCAGCAGUGGGGAAUAUUGGGCAAUGGGCGCAAGCCUGACCCAGCAACGCCGCGUGAAGGAAGAAGGCUUUCGGGUUGUAAACUUCUUUUAUCAUGGACGAAAACGAUGACGGUACCUGAAGAAUAAGCCACGGCUAACUACGUGCCAGCAGCCGCGGUAAUACGUAGGUGGCAAGCGUUGUCCGGAUUUACUGGGUGUAAAGGGCGCGUAGGCGGGAAUCCACGUCAGGUGUGAAAUCUAUGGGCUCAACCCAUAAACUGCACUUGAAACUGCAUUUCUUGAGUGUCGGAGAGGUAGAUGGAAUUCCUAGUGUAGCGGUGAAAUGCGUAGAUAUUAGGAGGAACACCAGUGGCGAAGGCGAUCUACUGGACGAUAACUGACGCUGAGGCGCGAAAGCGUGGGGAGCAAACAGGAUUAGAUACCCCGGUAGUCCACGCCGUAAAC
Molecule: ribosomal RNA, 813 nt
Filed under: uncultured bacterium
Lineage: Bacteria
Description: bacterial SSU rRNA
Rfam family: Bacterial small subunit ribosomal RNA
Source: RNAcentral